AUUGAACGCUGGCGGCAGGCCUAACACAUGCAAGUCGAACGGUAACAGGAAGAAGCUUGCUUCUUUGCUGACGAGUGGCGGACGGGUGAGUAAUGUCUGGGAAACUGCCUGAUGGAGGGGGAUAACUACUGGAAACGGUAGCUAAUACCGCAUAACGUCGCAAGACCAAAGAGGGGGACCUUCGGGCCUCUUGCCAUCGGAUGUGCCCAGAUGGGAUUAGCUAGUAGGUGGGGUAACGGCUCACCUAGGCGACGAUCCCUAGCUGGUCUGAGAGGAUGACCAGCCACACUGGAACUGAGACACGGUCCAGACUCCUACGGGAGGCAGCAGUGGGGAAUAUUGCACAAUGGGCGCAAGCCUGAUGCAGCCAUGCCGCGUGUAUGAAGAAGGCCUUCGGGUUGUAAAGUACUUUCAGCGGGGAGGAAGGGAGUAAAGUUAAUACCUUUGCUCAUGGACGUUACCCGCAGAAGAAGCACCGGCUAACUCCGU
Molecule: ribosomal RNA, 489 nt
Filed under: uncultured bacterium
Lineage: Bacteria
Description: partial 16S ribosomal RNA
Rfam family: Bacterial small subunit ribosomal RNA
Source: RNAcentral